This 450-nucleotide ribosomal RNA is filed under the name uncultured bacterium. Its description in RNAcentral is "bacterial SSU rRNA". It matches the Rfam family "Bacterial small subunit ribosomal RNA", at positions 335 to 802 of the family's 1533-position model. The record is from RNAcentral.
ACUCCUACGGGAGGCAGCAGUGGGGAAUCUUAGACAAUGGGCGCAAGCCUGAUCUAGCCAUGCCGCGUGAGUGAUGAAGGCCCUAGGGUCGUAAAGCUCUUUCGCCUGUGAAGAUAAUGACUGUAGCAGGUAAAGAAAACCCCGGCUAACUCCGUGCCAGCAGCCGCGGUAAUACGGAGGGGGUUAGCGUUGUUCGGAAUUACUGGGCGUAAAGCGCGCGUAGGCGGAUUAGUCAGUCAGAGGUGAAAUCCCAGGGCUCAACCCUGGAACUGCCUUUGAUACUGCUAGUCUUUGAGUUCGAGAGAGGUGAGUGGAAUUCCGAGUGUAGAGUGAAAUUCGUAGAUAUUCGGAGGAACACCAGUGGCGAAGGCGGCUCACUGGCUCGAUACUGACGCUGAGGUGCGAAAGUGUGGGGAGCAAACAGGAUUAGAUACCCUGGUAGCUACGAGU